Molecule: ribosomal RNA, 396 nt
Filed under: uncultured bacterium
Lineage: Bacteria
Description: bacterial SSU rRNA
Rfam family: Bacterial small subunit ribosomal RNA
Source: RNAcentral
AACGAACGUUGGCGGCGUGGAUUAGGCAUGCAAGUCGAACGCGAAAGGGUAGCAAUACCCGAGUAAAGUGGCGAACGGGUGAGUAACGCGUAGGAAACCUGCCUUCGAGUGGGGGAUAACAUUCCUAACGGGGUGCUAAUACCGCAUGAAACUGCGGGAUCGCAUGGUUCUGCAGUCAAAGGUGGCCUCUAUUUAUAAGCUACCGCUCAAAGAUGGUCCUGCGUCCCAUUAGCUAGNGGCGGGGUAACGGCCCACCAAGGCAUCGAUGGGUAGCCGAUCUGAGAGGAUGACCGGCCACACUGGGACUGAGAUACGGCCCAGACUCCUACGGGAGGCAGCAGUCGAGAGGCUUCGGCAAGUGGGGGAAACCCUGACCGAGCGACGCCGCGUGGAGGA